Molecule: small RNA, 145 nt
Filed under: Citrobacter farmeri
Lineage: Bacteria; Pseudomonadati; Pseudomonadota; Gammaproteobacteria; Enterobacterales; Enterobacteriaceae
Description: Short Intergenic Abundant RNA
Rfam family: Short Intergenic Abundant RNA
About the family: This family contains multiple ncRNA from E. coli that were identified in a large scale screen of E. coli, were they were called candidates 43,55 and 61.
Source: RNAcentral
UUGACAUUCCUGUUUGUGUGGCUUAACGUCAGGAGUGAGGGCAAGGGAGGGUUACCCCUCCCCCUGGUGUCUUAGUAAGCCGGUAAGCUAAUGACUAAGAGUAUCACCAGUAUGAUGACUGGCCUCAUCAUAACCCUUUCCUUAU